RNAcentral lists this ribosomal RNA (561 nucleotides) under uncultured bacterium. RNAcentral describes it as "bacterial SSU rRNA". It matches the Rfam family "Bacterial small subunit ribosomal RNA", at positions 587 to 1144 of the family's 1533-position model. The record is from RNAcentral.
GUCUGAUGUGAAAGCCCACGGCUCAACCGUGGAGGGUCAUUGGAAACUGGGGGACUUGAGGGCAGGAGAGGAGAGCGGAAUUCCACGUGUAGCGGUGAAAUGCGUAGAGAUGUGGAGGAACACCAGUGGCGAAGGCGGCUCUCUGGCCUGCACCUGACGCUGAGGCGCGAAAGCGUGGGGAGCAAACAGGAUUAGAUACCCUGGUAGUUCACGCCGUAAACGAUGAGUGCUAAGUGUUAGAGGGGUCACACCCUUUAGUGCUGCAGCUAACGCGAUAAGCACUCCGCCUGGGGAGUACGGCCGCAAGGCUGAAACUCAAAGGAAUUGACGGGGGCCCGCACAAGUGGUGGAGCAUGUGGUUUAAUUCGAAGCAACGCGAAGAACCUUACCAGGUCUUGACAUCCCCUGACAACCCAAGAGAUUGGGCGUUCCCCCUUCGGGGGGACAGGGUGACAGGUGGUGCAUGGUUGUCGUCAGCUCGUGUCGUGAGAUGUUGGGUUAAGUCCCGCAACGAGCGCAACCCUUGCCUCUAGUUGCCAGCAUUCAGGUGGGCACUCUAGA